AUCGCUUCUCGGCCUUUUGGCUAAGAUCAAGUGUAGAACCAACUUUACUUGGUAACUUUAAAUUCUCCAAAUAUUUGAUAUGCUAAUUAAAAUUACAAGAAGUUAGAAAAAUUUUCUGUCAUUUAGUGGAAAAUGAACUUGAAAUUAUCGUAU
Molecule: small nuclear RNA, 153 nt
Organism: Heterocephalus glaber (naked mole-rat)
Lineage: Eukaryota; Metazoa; Chordata; Mammalia; Rodentia; Bathyergidae
Gene: U2
Rfam family: U2 spliceosomal RNA
About the family: U2 is a small nuclear RNA (snRNA) component of the spliceosome (involved in pre-mRNA splicing).
Source: Ensembl